ACGGAAGGCAGCAGUGGGGAAUAUUGCACAAUGGGGGAAACCCUGAUGCAGCGACGCCGCGUGAGUGAAGAAGUAUUUCGGUAUGUAAAGCUCUAUCAGCAGGAAAGAAAAUGACGGUACCUGACUAAGAAGCCCCGGCUAACUACGUGCCAGCAGCCGCGGUAAUACGUAGGGGGCAAGCGUUAUCCGGAUUUACUGGGUGUAGAGGGAGCGUAGACGGCUUUGCAAGUCUGAAGUGAAAGCCCGGGGCUCAACCCCGGAACUGCUUUGGAAACUGUAGAGCUAGAGUGCAGGAGAGGUAAGUGGAAUUCCUAGUGUAGCGGUGAAAUGCGUAGAUAUUAGGAGGAACACCAGUGGCGAAGGCGGCUUACUGGACUGUAACUGACGUUGAGGCUCGAAGGCGUGGGGAGCAAACAGGAUUAGAUACCCUGGUA
Molecule: ribosomal RNA, 434 nt
Filed under: uncultured Lachnospiraceae bacterium
Lineage: Bacteria; Bacillati; Bacillota; Clostridia; Lachnospirales; Lachnospiraceae
Description: partial 16S ribosomal RNA
Rfam family: Bacterial small subunit ribosomal RNA
Source: RNAcentral